UUUGACUGGGGCGGUCUCCUCCUAAAGAGUAACGGAGGAGCACGAAGGUUGGCUAAUCCUGGUCGGACAUCAGGAGGUUAGUGCAAUGGCAUAAGCCAGCUUGACUGCGAGCGUGACGGCGCGAGCAGGUGCGAAAGCAGGUCAUAGUGAUCCGGUGGUUCUGAAUGGAAGGGCCAUCGCUCAACGGAUAAAAGGUACUCCGGGGAUAACAGGCUGAUACCGCCCAAGAGUUCAUAUCGACGGCGGUGUUUGGCACCUCGAUGUCGGCUCAUCACAUCCUGGGGCUGAAGUAGGUCCCAAGGGUAUGGCUGUUCGCCAUUUAAAGUGGUACGCGAGCUGGGUUUAGAACGUCGUGAGACAGUUCGGUCCCUAUCUGCCGUGGGCGCUGGAGAACUGAGGGGGGCUGCUCCUAGUACGAGAGGACCGGAGUGGACGCAUCACUGGUGUUCGGGUUGUCAUGCCAAUGGCACUGCCCGGUAGCUAAAUGCGGAAGAGAUAAGUGCUGAAAGCAUCUAAGCACGAAACUUGCCCCGAGAUGAGUUCUCCCUGACUCCUUGAGAGUCCUGAAGGAACGUUGAAGACGACGACGUUGAUAGGCCAGGUGUGUAAGCGCAGCGAUGCGUUGAGCUAACCGGUACUAAUGAACCGUGAGGCUUAACCUUACAACGCCGAAGCUGUU
Molecule: ribosomal RNA, 679 nt
Filed under: Escherichia coli
Lineage: Bacteria; Pseudomonadati; Pseudomonadota; Gammaproteobacteria; Enterobacterales; Enterobacteriaceae
Description: partial 23S ribosomal RNA
Rfam family: Bacterial large subunit ribosomal RNA
Source: RNAcentral